GGCUGUAUCUUGUCUUAAGCGCAGAUAAUCUCUUUUAUUUCUCUCCUCAGAUACAGAGGACAAUUCUCACACAGAAUCCAUUAGCAGGUGAUAUGUCAUUGAUAUGUCAAAACAGGAAUGGGAGAUAAAAGCAGCUACAAAUGAUAAGUUUAUCAAGCACUACAUUGUGUUCAUUUGCAGGGCAUCAAAAAGUGGUGCUGCUGAUUCCUGGCCUUCAUCAGAUGAUGACGAUGAUGAUGAUGAUGAGUUAGAUUUGAGCCCAAAGAAAGUAAACUUGAAGAAACUCAUAAGCACCACAAAAAGGGAAAAAGUAGAAGGUGGGCAGAGUGAGUUAAAAGAGCUGCCUUCUGGCAGUAAACUAGAUGUGGAAGGCAAUGAAAGUCCAGAGGAUGAAUCUGAAGAAGGUGAAGAUGAUGAAGGUGAGGAUGACGAUGAUGGUGAAGAAGAAGAAGAAGAAGACGAGGAGGAGGGAGAAGAAGAUGAGGAUGAUGAUGAUGAUGAAAACGAUGAAAAUGAAGAUGAUGAUGAAGAGGGAGAUGAACAAGAAGAAACUGCUGUGGCUUGCGAGACAACAGGCCUUCCUGGGUUGCCCAAAACCGUGGCUCUUGGUACAACAG
This 617-nucleotide long non-coding RNA is filed under the name Sinocyclocheilus anshuiensis. RNAcentral describes it as "lncRNA (ENSSANG00000025553.1)". Lineage: Eukaryota; Metazoa; Chordata; Actinopteri; Cypriniformes; Cyprinidae. The record is from RNAcentral.